Molecule: long non-coding RNA, 473 nt
Organism: Rhipicephalus microplus (southern cattle tick)
Lineage: Eukaryota; Metazoa; Arthropoda; Arachnida; Ixodida; Ixodidae
Source: RefSeq, a predicted model, not a curated record
AAAUUGUGAUGUAGUCGGCCAAUUUAGUAUUAGACAAUAAUGUCAUGCGUUGUGUUCUUGCCGAUGAGUCGAUUUGUCUCAGACAUUUGUGGCCGUGACACCUAGAACCUGCUACUCUCUGCAAAGUAGCUAUCUAACUUUCAGUCUGAGGUUCACAAUGAAGGUUCGCUUGGCGAAAUGGGAAACUUCACUAGCAAGAAAGAAGUGUAAUCCUCAUCAUGACCAACCUGUUCUAACGAGCCCGGAAGUGUUACUAGGAACGUCUAGUGAAUAACUAGUGUCGUCAUGGUGGCAUCGCGGGAUGUGUUUUCACCAAGUUCGAGGGCUGGUUCUGGACCACUGGAUACGUAACAUUAUCAGGUUGGCCACAAAAAAGGGAGGUGCGGCUUUCCAGCAACACGGUGAGACGUCCCCCGUUACGCCACCGAUCGCCAAAGAGAGGGAAGACCCCUCAGCCCCCUUUUUAUCCGGUU